UCUGGGACAAGCCCUGGAAACGGGGUCUAAUACCGGAUGACACCCCCUCUCGCAUGGGAGGGGGUUGAAAGCUCCGGCGGUGCAGGAUGAGCCCGCGGCCUAUCAGCUUGUUGGUGAGGUAGUGGCUCACCAAGGCGACGACGGGUAGCCGGCCUGAGAGGGCGACCGGCCACACUGGGACUGAGACACGGCCCAGACUCCUACGGGAGGCAGCAGUGGGGAAUAUUGCACAAUGGGCGAAAGCCUGAUGCAGCGACGCCGCGUGAGGGAUGACGGCCUUCGGGUUGUAAACCUCUUUCAGCAGGGAAGAAGCGAAAGUGACGGUACCUGCAGAAGAAGCGCCGGCUAACUACGUGCCAGCAGCCGCGGUAAUACGUAGGGCGCAAGCGUUGUCCGGAAUUAUUGGGCGUAAAGAGCUCGUAGGCGGCUUGUCACGUCGGUUGUGAAAGCCCGGGGCUUAACCCCGGGUCUGCAGUCGAUACGGGCAGGCUAGAGUUCGGUAGGGGAGAUCGGAAUUCCUGGUGUAGCGGUGAAAUGCGCAGAUAUCAGGAGGAACACCGGUGGCGAAGGCGGAUCUCUGGGCCGAUACUGACGCUGAGGAGCGAAAGCGUGGGGAGCGAACAGGAUUAGAUACCCUGGUAGUCCACGCCGUAAACGGUGGGCACUAGGUGUGGGCAACAUUCCACGUUGUCCGUGCCGCAGCUAACGCAUUAAGUGCCCCGCCUGG
Molecule: ribosomal RNA, 727 nt
Filed under: Streptomyces sp.
Lineage: Bacteria; Bacillati; Actinomycetota; Actinomycetes; Kitasatosporales; Streptomycetaceae
Description: bacterial SSU rRNA
Rfam family: Bacterial small subunit ribosomal RNA
Source: RNAcentral